GACGGGGGAUGCAUGUGUUAUCCGGAAUCACUGGGCGUAAAGCGUCUGUAGGUUGUUUAAUAAGUCAACUGUUAAAUCUUGAGGCUUAACUUCAAAACCGCAGUCGAAACUAUUAGACUAGAGUAUAGUAGGGGUAAAGGGAAUUUCCAGUGGAGCGGUGAAAUGCGUAGAGAUUGGAAAGAACACCGAUGGCGAAGGCACUUUACUGGGCUAUUACUAACACUGAGAGACGAAAGCUAGGGUAGCAAAUGGG
This 253-nucleotide ribosomal RNA is filed under the name uncultured bacterium. Its description in RNAcentral is "partial 16S ribosomal RNA". It matches the Rfam family "Bacterial small subunit ribosomal RNA", at positions 524 to 776 of the family's 1533-position model. The record is from RNAcentral.